This 342-nucleotide unclassified non-coding RNA is filed under the name soil metagenome. Its description in RNAcentral is "partial contains 5.8S ribosomal RNA, internal transcribed spacer 2, and large subunit ribosomal RNA". The stretch from base 1 to 120 matches the Rfam family "5.8S ribosomal RNA", at positions 35 to 154 of the family's 154-position model. The record is from RNAcentral.
GAUGAAGAACGUAGCGAAAUGCGAUAAGUAAUGUGAAUUGCAGAACUCAGUGAAUCAUCGAAUCUUUGAACGCACAUUGCGCCCGCCAGCAUUCUGGCGGGCAUGCCUGUUCGAGCGUCAUUUCAACCCUCGUGCCCCCCCGGGGGCCUCGGUGUUGGGGGACGGCACACCAGCCGCCCCCGAAAUGCAGUGGCGACCUCGCCGCAGCCUCCCCUGCGUAGUAGCACACACCUCGCACCGGAGCGCGGAGACGGUCACGCCGUAAAACGCCCAACUUCUUAGAGUUGACCUCGGAUCAGGUAGGAAUACCCGCUGAACUUAAGCAUAUCAAUAAGCGGAGGA